Capsella rubella is the source of this 240-nucleotide long non-coding RNA. RefSeq lists it as uncharacterized. The transcript has 2 exons. The record is from RefSeq and is a predicted model, not a curated record. Lineage: Eukaryota; Viridiplantae; Streptophyta; Magnoliopsida; Brassicales; Brassicaceae.
CCUCCGGCUAGCUCUAGACUACCGAGCCGUCCGAGGAAAAGAACAGACACGACGGCGCGUACGUAGACUAGACAGUUCAUUGCAGUGAUAGUUUUCGAGUUUAAGGAGAUAGGAUCAAGAAGCCAUGGGAGUGGGAGGAGAAAAGUUGCGAGGUUUACGGUUCGAGUGAAACAGAGAACAGAUGAAGAAGACGUGGAGUUAGAAAGGCUGAAAGAGUAAAAAAGAAAAGAAAAAAAAAAA